This is a long non-coding RNA of Quercus robur (English oak), 751 nucleotides long. RefSeq lists it as uncharacterized. The record is from RefSeq and is a predicted model, not a curated record. Lineage: Eukaryota; Viridiplantae; Streptophyta; Magnoliopsida; Fagales; Fagaceae. The transcript has 3 exons.
UGCUUUUAAGAAUGUGUUUUCAUGCUAUUUUAUUCUAUACAUAUAGUCUCCUUCCAGUUGAAUGGAGCCAUAUAUUUAUAGAACAUAUCAAAGCAAAAUAAAUCUGUUUCUAAGGUACUUGACCUCUGUACUAUUACAGGGAUGGGAACACUGGCAUAUAGGAUGAGGUGGUUGUGUCAAUAAUUGGGCAAAUGAAAAUGAUUGAUCCCCACUUGGUUUCAUUAUUUUUUUGGCAACAACAAAAGGGUAUAUUUGCAUGCUACAAUGGAGUUAGAAAAUAGAAAUUCCAAAGUAACAAAGGGAAGCAUUUAUUAGUUGAACAUCUUCAGACUCAACAUGUAUCAAUCCCUGCUGGAUUGCAAGUGCAAUAUACAUCUCUUGAGGUGAUAAAGGUAUGAAUUUGCAGCUUUUCUUCUACAAGCCUGGCUUAUGGUGGACGAAUAGGAAACAAUCCUUGUAAAUUGACCCAUUUAACUUGAAUGACGCAUUUUCCCUUGUAAGAGCAAUUUGAGAGUGAAGUAAAAGACAGUCCAAGAUGACUUUAGCUAACAAAAAUGGUUCCAAACAAUUAUUGCUAAUAAAUAAAAAUAUUUAAUGGGAAACUCUUAGUUGGUGAGAGCGGAAUCUUUUAUUUAUAUAUAUUCAGUGUGUGAGAGUGAGACAAGAGCAGUUGGCGACUGCUUUAAGACUGGCGGUGUGAAUGUGAGCAAAAAAGUCAAUUGCUUUCUCUCCAGGUUGCUUUUUCUGUCCA